Molecule: ribosomal RNA, 497 nt
Filed under: uncultured bacterium
Lineage: Bacteria
Description: partial 16S ribosomal RNA
Rfam family: Bacterial small subunit ribosomal RNA
Source: RNAcentral
GAUGAACGCUGGCGGCGUGCCUAAUACAUGCAAGUCGAGCGAACAGACGAGGAGCUUGCUCCUCUGACGUUAGCGGCGGACGGGUGAGUAACACGUGGAUAACCUACCUAUAAGACUGGGAUAACUUCGGGAAACCGGAGCUAAUACCGGAUAAUAUAUUGAACCGCAUGGUUCAAUAGUUAAAGACGGUUUUGCUGUCACUUAUAGAUGGAUCCGCGCCGCAUUAGCUAGUUGGUAAGGUAACGGCUUACCAAGGCAACGAUGCGUAGCCGACCUGAGAGGGUGAUCGGACACACUGGAACUGAGACACGGUCCAGACUCCUACGGGAGGCAGCAGUAGGGAAUCUUCCGCAAUGGGCGAAAGCCUGACGGAGCAACGCCGCGUGAGUGAUGAAGGUCUUCGGAUCGUAAAACUCUGUUAUUAGGGAAGAAUAAAUGUGUAAGUAACUAUGCACGUCUUGACGGUACCUAAUAAGAAAGCCACGGCUAACUACGUG